This 1123-nucleotide long non-coding RNA is filed under the name Papio anubis (olive baboon). RNAcentral's name for it is "lncRNA (ENSPANG00000047582.1)". The record is from RNAcentral. Lineage: Eukaryota; Metazoa; Chordata; Mammalia; Primates; Cercopithecidae.
AUGUAUGCAUUGUCAAUACAUAAUAUUUAAACAACCAAAAUAUUGGCUUAUCAGGAUAUACUAAUUUUAAUAUUCUACAUAAGAGAAUGUUUUCUAUGAUUUUAUUUAAAUACAAUUAACACUAUUUUUUGUCAUGAGUAUUACACUGACAAUUCAUGAAAUAUUACUUCAUGACAACAAGUGAGUGUCUUGUCAAGGACCAAAAUUGGUAGAAACAUUAGCAAAGAGCAUAGGGUGCACAAUCUGCUCAACAGACUUUGUUGCCAAUGCUAAGUGAGGUGCACAUUUGAUCCUACAGCAAAGGUAGAUUUCACAGGCAUCAUUCAAGUACUUGAGAACACCUGUUUAGCAUAAGGCAAUGUGAGAUUGUAUUUCAUUUACCAAAGUUAAUUCAAUGUCAUCCAUCAGCCAUUUCUUGAAUAUCUGCUAUGUGUUCUGAAGUCAUUUCCUUUUCGUUUUAUUGAAUCAUCCAUUCUUUUUAUGUUUGUUUCUGCAAUUUAGGAUAACCCUGCUUAUUCCUGUGAACAAAUCAGUGAUCUCUGACUGCUACUCAGAAGAAACAAGAGGGAUGGGCAAUGUAAAAAUCUGGAUCAGUAUUCUAAUUCUGGACACAUUACAAUCAGUUAACAACCACAUAUAAGCUUAGUUCCAACAGUUGCCCAGUUCAUAAAAAGUCUUCUAAUUUAGUUUACUUAGAAUAACUUUACUUAUUUUGCUUUACUUUUGUGGAAUAUAUUGCUGUUUACUCUUUGUGUAGGAAUACAGAAAAAGCUUACUGAAUGUUUUCUUAAACUAAACACUUAUUAAUCUUCCAGAUACCACCUCUUGUUGAAACUCAAGAGUUGCAAAUGGCCCUCGCCAUACUCAUGCUUUCUGAAUGAGCUCCUCUCUACUCUGACUGCAAGAGACCCUCAUAAGUAGGUGGGAAUAUCAUCGCCCCUAUUCAGCCUGAAGAAGCUACAGAAGAUGGAUCUUUAUCCCUCUGCAACCCUUAGGAUUAAGACUCUCUUAUAAAAGAAAGGGGGGAAAUGUCAGAGGUAUGCGAACCAAAGCAACUCCAUCUUCAAUAGGAGCGGAGUAAAAUGAGGCUGAAACCUGGGCUGCACUCCCAGACAGUUAAGGC